This 2247-nucleotide long non-coding RNA is filed under the name Citrus sinensis (sweet orange). RNAcentral describes it as "long non-coding RNA (CSIN_LNC002173)". The record is from RNAcentral. Lineage: Eukaryota; Viridiplantae; Streptophyta; Magnoliopsida; Sapindales; Rutaceae.
GCCAGCCCUAAUUUCUUAAUCCAAACCUAAUCACACACAAAUACACAAUCACGCUGCCUACAAUAGAUUUGGUCAUCUGCUGUGCUGCUUGCCGACAACAAAUUGCUGCUCUUCGUCUUCGUCUUCGUCUUCGUCCUCAUCCCCGAUCUCUAGCUUGCUGGCUAUUCCCAUUUCCUUUUGUUUCGCAACUUAAUGGUUGUUGCCGGUAGCCUGCUACCUUCUUCAACUCCGAGCUAUAGCUAAUGCCUUCUUAAUUUAGAUUUUCUUCAAGUUCGAGUUGCUGCUACUGUAUUCUUUUGUGAGAGGUAAGCUGAUGGGUUCUUUCAUUUGUACACUAGGGUUUGGGGUUCUCUGAUCAGAAUAUAUCGGCUGGUCUGGUGAUUGCUCAACCGCCGUCGAUUUUUGAGGUGCCGCCCAGGUUGAGCCCCGCAAUUCUACUUGACUCGCUAAAUUUCAGUUUGUUUUCGCCUACACAGGUAAUUCAAUUUAACUUUGUCUGACCUAAAGUUUCUUCAUUUAUUCAUUAGAUUUUAGCUUGUUUAGGAAAGCUUUCAUUUUUAUUGGGUUUCGCAUUUAAAUUCUAAUAAUCCUUGGGUUUGAAUUUUGAUUUUUUUUUUUUUGGAGGGAUGGAAAAUUUUCUUCAUUGCCUUGAUUUGUUAGCAGUCGGUUGGAAUUUUGAAUUAGAGCUUGCUGAAGCAUUUAUUAUAGAAUUUAUAAAUGUGCCCUGUAAUUGGGAUAAAAACUCUUGACUUAAUUAAUCUGACAGAAGAACAUUUUGAGCAAUGUUGUAAUGUGAUUGUGCAUUGCUGAGAUAAUCUCAUCUUGUUUUGGUAUUCUAACCAAUAAAAAAAAAUUUAAGUGUUGGACUCCCCUUCGGCUUCACAUGGCAAGCCCUAAUUUCUUAAUCCAAACCUAAUCACACACAAAUACACAAUCACGCUGCCUACAAUAGAUUUGGUCAUCUGCUGUGCUGCUUGCCGACAACAAAUUGCUGCUCUUCGUCUUCGUCUUCGUCUUCGUCCUCAUCCCCGAUCUCUAGCUUGCUGGCUAUUCCCAUUUCCUUUUGUUUCGCAACUUAAUGGUUGUUGCCGGUAGCCUGCUACCUUCUUCAACUCCGAGCUAUAGCUAAUGCCUUCUUAAUUUAGAUUUUCUUCAAGUUCGAGUUGCUGCUACUGUAUUCUUUUGUGAGAGGUAAGCUGAUGGGUUCUUUCAUUUGUACACUAGGGUUUGGGGUUCUCUGAUCAGAAUAUAUCGGCUGGUCUGGUGAUUGCUCAACCGCCGUCGAUUUUUGAGGUGCCGCCCAGGUUGAGCCCCGCAAUUCUGCUUGACUCGCUAAAUUUCAGUUUGUUUUCGCCUACACAGGUAAUUCAAUUUAACUUUGUCUGACCUAAAGUUUCUUCAUUUAUUCAUUAGAUUUUAGCUUGUUUAGGAAAGCUUUCAUUUUUAUUGGGUUUCGCAUUUAAAUGCUAAUAAUCCUUGGGUUUGAAUUUUGAUUUUUUUUUUUUUGGAGGGAUGGAAAAUUUUCUUCAUUGCCUUGAUUUGUUAGCAGUCGGUUGGAAUUUUGAAUUAGAGCUUGCUGAAGCAUUUAUUAUAGAAUUUAUAAAUGUGCCCUGUAAUUGGGAUAAAAACUCUUGACUUAAUUAAUCUGACAGAAGAACAUUUUGAGCAAUGUUGUAAUGUGAUUGUGCAUUGCUGAGAUAAUCUCAUCUUGUUUUGGUAUUCUAAGUAUCCAAAUGGACUGGAUAGUAGGCUAUCCAGGUCAAGUUUUAAUGGUAAUUGGGCAUUUUUCUUUCCUGAUUUUAGUUUCAUCUCUUUUUAGAUGAAGCAUAUGGUUAAUGCAAACAAUUAACGAAAGAAAAGCUCUUGGUAUUACUAGUGUUGGAGAUCCAAUUGUCUUCAUGUAAACUGUGAACACUUUUAACUCCCAUAUCUAAGAUAUAGAGAUCUUUAUGUAGCUUUAAGCCAAAUAUGUGAGAAAUUCUCCAAUCUAGUCACAACUUUAUUAGCAACCAAGAAUGAAAGAGUAUUAGCUUCCAGUUAUAAUUUGAUGACCGGAGCUUGAAUGAGUGAGUGAUAACUUGUAUUGUCUAUAUUGCUUUGUAUGUCAUGCCUCACUGGCAUUAUGUUACUUGGGUAUCCAAAUUUUGCGUUUAUCUAUUACUAAUUUCCCUGAUUCAUUGGAUGCAACCUAGGGAGCCUUUAGAAUGAAGCACUAGCAGGCCCUAGCACAGGUCACUGCCCAAGCUG